GGGAAUCUACCUGGAACUACGGAACAACUGAGGGAAACUUCAGCUAAUACCGUAUACGCCCUACGGGGGAAAGAUUUAUCGGUUUCAGAUGAGCCCGCGUAAGAUUAGCUAGUUGGUGGGGUAAUGGCCUACCAAGGCGACGAUCUUUAGCUGGUCUGAGAGGAUGAUCAGCCACACUGGGACUGAGACACGGCCCAGACUCCUACGGGAGGCAGCAGUGGGGAAUAUUGGACAAUGGGCGCAAGCCUGAUCCAGCCAUGCCGCGUGAGUGAUGAAGGCCUUAGGGUUGUAAAGCUCUUUCAGUGGGGAAGAUAAUGACGGUACCCACAGAAGAAGCCCCGGCUAACUUCGUGCCAGCAGCCGCGGUAAUACGAAGGGGGCUAGCGUUGUUCGGAUUUACUGGGCGUAAAGCGCACGUAGGCGGUUUGUUAAGUCAGGGGUGAAAUCCCACAGCUCAACUGUGGAACUGCCUUUGAUACUGGCAAGCUAGAGUCCGGAAGAGGUAAGUGGAACUCCUAGU
Molecule: ribosomal RNA, 520 nt
Filed under: uncultured bacterium
Lineage: Bacteria
Description: bacterial SSU rRNA
Rfam family: Bacterial small subunit ribosomal RNA
Source: RNAcentral